CUGUGACGUAAUUUGAAUGGGAAACCACUAGCAGCGCUCACGGACUUUUGGAGUAGUGCGCAUGCGCGUCAUUUUGAACUGUAACGGUCGUCAGUCAACCGGGAGUUCUCGGAGUAAAAGCUGUAGAGUGUUUGGGAGACCGUGCUGCCUGCUGUUGUCGAUCGAUGAUGUUCCUGUCACUGAUAGUGGAGCCUGUAACUAGCAGAAGCAGAGACGGUUUGUGCAACAGCAACAAGGUGCAGGUCCAAACCCAUCUGUCAAAAGACGCUUGUCCACUUGCUGUCUGCCCCACCAGCCCAACAAUUGUGCUGGAGAACCACAAGUCAUAGAAAAAGAGAAUGACAUAAUCAACUGGAACAGCAUGAGGUGGUAGAGACAGAGAAGAAGUGCCCUUGAUGAGGAAACCCUGGCAGAAAUUCUCUCAGGUGUUACUCGUGCUUACCUGAUUCGACGGGUUCCUGUAAAGCAAAAGUGGAGACAUGCCCAGUUGGAUAUUCUAAAUGUGCGAGGAGUGUACUGGAACAAACAGUUGGUUCCUCUAAGGUGUUCUUCACAUCUAAAGUGUGUGCAGAUAAGUGUGUACCAGGGAUCCAUCAGAUAGCUGAAGGGACGUUGUCUCUCCACUGCUGUGACACUGACCUUUGCAAUGCAGCAGAUGGAGUGUUUAAGGGAAGCUUCCUCCUGCUCUUCUCUCCUCUGCUCUUCUACUUCCUGUUUCAGAGAGUCCAGAUUCAAGAUUUCAGAUUCUACAGUGAAGAUCAGCACAAAAACUGAAUAUGAGACACAAUUGAUUUAAUUUACUGAAUACAGCUUGUUUGUUGUUCUGCUGUUCUUUGGUUUAAGGAACUAAAAAAAUUGUAUUUACUGCAUCAGCACUAACAGAUGUAUAAAUGUAUAAAAGUUAUUAUAGAAUGUAAUAAAGAAUUAAGGAAACAGAGUGUGCUAAACUGCUGUAAUAAAAUAUUUAUGUAUUAGCCUACA
Megalobrama amblycephala (Wuchang bream) is the source of this 981-nucleotide RNA transcript. It is a transcript of the gene named prostate stem cell antigen-like, with no coding region annotated. The transcript is spliced from 9 exons. NCBI's taxonomy places the organism in Eukaryota, Metazoa, Chordata, Actinopteri, Cypriniformes, Xenocyprididae. The record is from RefSeq and is a predicted model, not a curated record.